UCCUCGAAAUAUCUUUAUUUUUGCAUAGCCCAUGCCUCUAAUGCAAUAAUACUUUGGAAGAGUGAAUCUUUCUGAAUAAUGUCUUGAUCUUAGGAGCAUGAUAAAUCUCUCAACAAUGGUCUAACUCAUUUUGAACAAACUCAAUACAGAGUAGAUAGCUUUUAUAAUCAUAAUUAAUAUUUUCAGUUUUAGUAGGCAUAU
RNAcentral lists this long non-coding RNA (201 nucleotides) under Sorghum bicolor (sorghum). RNAcentral's name for it is "long non-coding RNA (SBIC_LNC012113)". The record is from RNAcentral. Lineage: Eukaryota; Viridiplantae; Streptophyta; Magnoliopsida; Poales; Poaceae.